UACAGAGGGGGCAAGCGUUAUUCGGAAUUAUUGGGCGUAAAGGGCGCGUAGGUGGCUUUGUAAGCGGAAGGUGAAAUCCCUCGGCUCAACCGAGGAACUGCCCUCCGAACUGCGGAGCUUGAGUCCGGGAGAGGUGAGUGGAAUUCCCAGUGUAGCGGUGAAAUGCGUAGAUAUUGGGAGGAACACCAGUGGCGAAGGCGGCUCACUGGACCGGAACUGACGCUGAGGCGCGAAAGCGUGGGGAGCAAACAGG
RNAcentral lists this unclassified non-coding RNA (253 nucleotides) under uncultured Holophagae bacterium. Its description in RNAcentral is "contains 16S-23S intergenic spacer region". It matches the Rfam family "Bacterial small subunit ribosomal RNA", at positions 524 to 776 of the family's 1533-position model. Lineage: Bacteria; Pseudomonadati; Acidobacteriota; Holophagae. The record is from RNAcentral.